RNAcentral lists this long non-coding RNA (1078 nucleotides) under Ictidomys tridecemlineatus (thirteen-lined ground squirrel). RNAcentral's name for it is "lncRNA (ENSSTOG00000032772.1)". Lineage: Eukaryota; Metazoa; Chordata; Mammalia; Rodentia; Sciuridae. The record is from RNAcentral.
UGUUAAGAAUUAUUAAAUCUGUGAAAUGUUUCUAUUUUAAUUAAUUGCCUUUUAACUGAUUUUUAAAAUCAGUUAAAAAUAGUUUUUUUUUCUCAAAAUUAUACAAAUAUAUUACAAAACAGAAAGAAUUUGGGAUUUUUGUUUUCUUGUGAUUGACUUUUGGGAAAUAUUGUAUCACAAUCCAAGAUAGAGCAGUUAUUUUAAAACUCACAACAGAUUCCCCCCCUGGUGAACAUAUGGUAUGUUUGCCAAAAGGAGCACUUCUUUCUGAAACUUCAGAUUUCACUUACUUUGAUUUAGACAGGAAUUGUGAUGUUAAAUUAUUAUUUUUGAAAUAUCAAUACACAUUUUCCCUCUAGUUGUUCCAAAGGGAUGGCUUGAUAUACAGCGUUUUUCAUUUAAAAAAAUUCUUAUUUUACAAUUAUUUACUAAUUCAACUUCAAUCCUUUUAAAUUAGCGAUGGGUAAAUAGAGAUUGAUAGCUAAAUUUGAAUGUGUUCCUUCACGACAAAUUUAUUUGCACAUUUUUUAGAGGCAAUCCCCAAUUUUUAGAGGAUGUUUAUUACACGAGUCUAUAAGUUCACGUUUCCAAGUUGGUAAACACAAACCAAGCGCCAACGGAAACGGGAGGAAAUCCUGUUCCAGGUUUUCGGGCAGCUGGUGUGAUUGACACAUGAUAUCACUGGGGGCGUGUCUUGGAGUGGAGGUGGAGGUGGCCGCGAGGAGCUGAAAUUCUGCGGAGCAGGAGUGGGAUCGCUCUGUAAGGCACACAGUGGUUUGCAGAGCGAUAGCAGCGGACCCAGCUCCCUGCCCCGGAUAAGGAACAGCUGCAGUCGCCGUACAUGUGCGUGAAAAGCAAUUUCCAAUCUUUGCAUUAGGCGUUUCGCCGUGGAACCGGAGGGGCGGAGGACUGGAAGUGAGCGCUGCCCAGGAGAGGCUGACCUGCCGGGACCGCGGCUCCCGGGACGCGGCGCCCACUGCCCAGCGUGCGGGAUCGGCGGAGCGCCUCGGCCUGCCCGGGGACCAGGACGACGUCCUCCCACCUCGCCCUGAGAAGGACCCCGAACUUCGCUCCUUUC